RNAcentral lists this long non-coding RNA (540 nucleotides) under Cinara cedri. The record is from RNAcentral. Lineage: Eukaryota; Metazoa; Arthropoda; Insecta; Hemiptera; Aphididae.
CGCGGCUACGAUACGAAACUACCUGUUGUAACCGAUCACCACCACACGCAGGGACCUGUUCCGCCUAGGGAGGAAAACGCCGACGUUAUAAUAUUGUAAUAAUAAUUUUACGGCGUCCUUUUUUUGUCUACUAAGAUCUUUAUUUUUUUUAUUUUUUUUUCAGAGAAUAUGAUUCACCAAAAAUCAAUUAAUCUUCUCCGCGUUCGGAAUCCGGAAUUUUUUUCUUCCCCUUCGACGACGCUCGACGGUAUUAUAUAGUCAUAAACAGUCACGUGGAUCUAUAUAAUAUCCCGCCGCAGCAUUCCAAACGAGACACGCACACUAUAAUCAGUAUAUUAUACAGGGUGGUGAUUUGUUAUACGUUUCGCGUAUACCGUAUAUUAUCACGUUAUCGUGUUUAGACGCGAUAAUCCUAUAUUUGUCCCAAAAUACUCCACCGCGAUCUAUAUAUAUACACCGAUGUACAUGUAUACCUAAACAUUUGUUUAAAACCUUUAAAAACGGUACCUAAACCAAUUUCAAAAUGCGGGUGAAAGGGUU